This 253-nucleotide ribosomal RNA is filed under the name uncultured bacterium. Its description in RNAcentral is "partial 16S ribosomal RNA". It matches the Rfam family "Bacterial small subunit ribosomal RNA", at positions 524 to 776 of the family's 1533-position model. The record is from RNAcentral.
UACGUAGGGUGCAAGCGUUGUCCGGAAUUAUUGGGCGUAAAGAGCUUGUAGGCGGUUUGUCGCGUCUGCUGUGAAAUUUCGGGGCUCAACCCCGAACUUGCAGUGGGUACGGGCAGACUAGAGUGUGGUAGGGGAGACUGGAAUUCCUGGUGUAGCGGUGAAAUGCGCAGAUAUCAGGAGGAGCACCGAUGGCGAAGGCAGGUCUCUGGGCCAUAACUGACGCUGAGAAGCGAAAGCAUGGGGAGCGAACAGG